RNAcentral lists this ribosomal RNA (469 nucleotides) under uncultured bacterium. RNAcentral's name for it is "partial 16S ribosomal RNA". It matches the Rfam family "Bacterial small subunit ribosomal RNA", at positions 28 to 508 of the family's 1533-position model. The record is from RNAcentral.
GACGAACGCUGGCGGCGUGCUUAACACAUGCAAGUCGAACGGAAAGGCCCUGCUUUUGUGGGGUUCUCGAGUGGCGAACGGGUGAGUAACACGUGAGUAACCUGCCCUUGACUUUGGGAUAACUUCAGGAAACUGGGGCUAAUACCGGAUAGGAUCUCCUGCUGCGUUGUGGGGGUUGGAAAGUUUCGGCGGGUGGGGAUGGAUUGGCGGCUUAUCAGCUUGUUGGUGGGGUAGUGGGUUACCAAGGUUUUGACGGGUAGCCGGCCUGAGGGGGUGACCGGCCGCCUUGGGGCCGAGGUGCGGCCCCAGCGGCUAAGGGAGGCCAGAGUGGGGAAUCCUGCACCAGGGGCGGAAGGCUGAUGCAGCAACGCCGCGGGCGGGAAGGCCGCCUUGGGGGUGGAAAACGGCUUCGGCUUUGAAGAAGGCUGUGCGGAGGUUAUGGGGAAAGAAGGCACGGGUAAACUUGUUC